CGGAUCGUAAAGCUCUGUUGUUAGGAAAAGAACAAGUACCGUUCGAAUAGGGCGGUACCUUGACGGUACCUAACCAGAAAGCCACGGCUAACUACGUGCCAGCAGCCGCGGUAAUACGUAGGUGGCAAGCGUUGUCCGGAAUUAUUGGGCGUAAAGGGCUCGCAGGCGGUUUCUUAAGUCUGAUGUGAAAGCCCCCGGCUCAACCGGGGAGGGUCAUUGGAAACUGGGGAACUUGAGUGCAGAAGAGGAGAGUGGAAUUCCACGUGUAGCGGUGAAAUGCGUAGAGAUGUGGAGGAACACCAGUGGCGAAGGCGACUCUCUGGUCUGUAACUGACGCUGAGGAGCGAAAGCGUGGGGAGCGAACAGGAUUAAAUACCCUGGUAGUCCACGCCGUAAACGAUGAGUGCUAAGUGUUAGGGGGUUUCCGCCCCUUAGUGCUGCAGCUAACGCAUUAAGCACUCCGCCUGGGGAGUACGGUCGCAAGACUGAAACUCAAAGGAAUUGACGGGGGCCCGCACAAGCGGUGGAGCAUGUG
This 535-nucleotide ribosomal RNA is filed under the name Bacillus subtilis. RNAcentral's name for it is "bacterial SSU rRNA". It matches the Rfam family "Bacterial small subunit ribosomal RNA", at positions 419 to 943 of the family's 1533-position model. Lineage: Bacteria; Bacillati; Bacillota; Bacilli; Caryophanales; Bacillaceae. The record is from RNAcentral.